Molecule: non-coding RNA, 3843 nt
Organism: Microcebus murinus (gray mouse lemur)
Lineage: Eukaryota; Metazoa; Chordata; Mammalia; Primates; Cheirogaleidae
Source: RefSeq, a predicted model, not a curated record
UUACAGGUGUGAGCCACCAUGCCCGGCCUUAGGAGGCUUUCUUAAGAAGCUAACUCUGAAUGUCAAAAGUGAUAUCCAAAGUCAAGGUGAUUCAAAUCACAGUGUUACAUCCUAGUCCAAGGGAGAAGGAUUAAACAAACAGAAGAUCCGACAAACCUCUAGAGGGUCUCAGGAUGCUAUCCUUGCCAAUGAUGCCACAGAAUGGCUUUCAAGAAGCAGCUUUAAUAUCUUACUUUUGAGUUGAAGGAUAUAAAGAUCUUCAAGACCUGAAGAAAGAUUUGGACAUUUUAUGAGAGGGCGCCAAAAAAAGUAAGAUACUGUUUUCGAGACAUAAAUCACAAUUCAGAGUAAAAGGCUAACCAGAAAACCCUGUUUUUUGUUGGAAAUCCUGUGAGUCCAAGGACGGGAGUGAUUGUGAAGCAAGAAUAAAUAACUGAGCUGUAACAUCAGUGUGAUCAGAUUCUUCCUUCAUCACUCUGGUGUUAGCUAUGCAAACACACAUCUCUCAACAAACAUCUCAACUUUGGACCUGCAAGGAACCAUGCUGUUUAUUUCUGUUUAGUGCUUUUACAGAAUUAUGAAGAGCAUCCUGCUUUCUGGGCAGGGCCAGGCCUAAAAUACGUGAAAACCCAAAGGCAACUGAAGAAACCAAAACUUUUACACAGAUGAAAAGAUGGAAAAUGCUGAAGAAAGGCCAUCUUUAAAUAGCCUGAUUGUGCUGAUACGAUUUUUUGGGUUCUUUAAGGAUCUGGAUGUCGAAAGUGAACUCUGUGCUGUGUAAAAUGUCAAAGUGCUCACCCUCUCCCACAAUCAAACAAAGAGAAUAUAGAAAAAGUGGCGCAAGAGUGUUGGUAAAAACACAAGGCCGUACAAUCAUUCGUCCAAGAGGGAACCAGAAAAUCAGCUUUGCCGGGCAAAUUGAGGCAAAGAAAAACAUGGGGAGGGAAAAUGCCACUACUAUUAAAAUUCAGCUGUAGGAGUGUAUGAAUUUGCCUGCUGUGCUUUCAGAAACUUCUUGCCUUUCUUUAGCUUUGUGUCUCUUUUAUCUGCCAUGCUGCCUUUAGUUUGAGGGAAGCCAUUCUUUUCUUUGUAAACAUCAUUUGGAACUUUCUUCCCUGGCCUGGUCUAAUAAUCACAUUUCUCACUUUCCUGUGUUCUCAUUGGAAUGGGGUGUUUAUUUGGUUUCUCAAAGACCCCCACCUUUUAAGAUGUGUAAUUCAAAAAUCAAAACUACUUCCUGGGGUUUUAGGUAUGUAUUUCUAGUUCUGAUGUGUCAAACUAGUCCAAUGUGUCUUGAGCUUCCAUGCUGGAAUGUCGCUUGACUCACUUCCAAACUGAAGUGCUUAAAAAAAUGUGAGGCACUACAACUAUUUUAAAUCUCUCUCUACACUGCACAUGGUGAUUUAAAAUAAUUGAAGCUCUUCAAAUUUUUAUAUGCUCUCCAAUUUGGAAGUGAUCAGUUCUGAGCAUGUGCAGUACACAAUGAUUUAAAGUUAUUAGAGUCCUUCAAAUUUAUCCUAAGUGUUUCAGCUUGAGAGUGAUAGGGGAGCCUGGACUUUGGCAGUCAAAAGGGAUUUAAAAUUAUUGUUAUGCUCAGAUGUUAUAGAGGGAUCGGAAUUCUGGAAACUUGUAUGUAUUGUUUAACUCACUGUUAAAAUGACUCUCUCUCUCUCUUUUUUUUUUUUUUUUUAGAAUCAAAAGAUAUUAUUAGCCCACUAGAAAAAGCAUUUAAAUAAACCACUUAAAAUGCACCUUAACAUGAUUGUACUUUCAAUGCCAUGGUUCCCACUGAUGACCUGAAUAGGAUCAUGAUUUUAAAGCCAAAUGCUCAAAUUUGGCAAGGAAAAGUGGUGUCAUCUUUUAGCCCAAGCACGAGAAAGAUAAGUAUUUAGUAACAAUACCUGAUGCAUUCUGGUGACAAUAUAUAGAGUCUGUAGUCUAUCCUCCUAAAUUCUACUGUUUUUGCUUUAAACCACAAGAGGCCUUUAGAACUAUACAUAGAUUAUCAUUUGCAAUGCAUAAAUUUGUUUUUUAUUUAAAUAUUUCAAAUAAAGUGCUUUUAUGAAAGAUUAUUUAACUUAAAAAUUCAUGUUAUAUUAUCUCUUAGAUGAAAUAUAUGCAUUCGUUUCUUUAGCUCUUUGUUUCGGUGAAUGUUGUACCAAAUGCAAAGGUACAUAUUUAUGAAAUGAACAAGAUAGAAUCCUCAGAUGAUUUACUUGGUCACUUGAUGGUUACUUAACAUUCCUCAGAUCUUUUACCAAAGAAUAUUCUCUGAGUGGGAACAUUUAAACUUUUGCUGAGUGCCCUAAUGCCAAGAUUCUAACAUGUAAGGUAGAUUUAUGGUUCAAAAGUUAAUAUUAUAUAAGAAGAAAUUCAGUCAUUAAGAAGUCAGCUAAAAUUCUUAGCAUGUUUUAUUUCUACCUUUGAAAGCCACAUGGACACUCUUUUACUUGAUUUAAAUGAAAGUGACAAAGGUGAAAUUCCAGCAUAUUUCUCAGUCACUUCCCUUCCUCAGUAAAUGUUUUCAUUUUGAUAAAAAUUAGGAUAAGUUGAUUAUGGAUUUUAUUUUAUUUUUUUUAACUGAAACCUGGAGUUAGAGUUUGAAUUAUUCUGGCACAAGAAAACCAUCUGAUCUUAUAAACUAGCUUUAUAGAUCUCCAUAUUUUUAUUAGAGCAGAAAUUUAACAGGAUUAGAAAUAGAAAAUGCUAAUAAUAGAAAAUAUGUUAUAUUUGGGAUUUCUGUAACUGUAGGGAUUUAGGGCCCUGAACUAUGAAAAAUCCCACAUUUGGUAUAGUAGUCAACCUUUGCCCUCAAAUUUAUUAUUAGUUUUUAAAGUUUGAAAAAUUUUCUUAGGCUUAUAUAUUUUUAGUGUCCACUAUUACUUUGCUCUGUUGUAGUGAAUUUUGACAGGCAGAAAAAAAGCUAAGUGAGUUUGUUGAAUUAUUUGUGGCUGUGCUAAAUUAAGAACAUGUGAGUGGAGUUCUGUUAUGCUAUUAAAUAAUUGAAUUAAGCCUUAUUUAGGUCACAGGUAGAAUGAGCAAGUGUUUGCUGAACACAUAAGAAUACCUGGAAAUUGCCUAGUCCCAAAGCAUGGUUACAACAAAAUAAAGUUCUUGCUUUUAGCUGUAUCAGUUUUGGAGUCCUUGGGAACUGAAAAGGUUAUUUGGACAGACUAACAUACCAUUUGUGCUUAAACUCUAAAUCUUUCAGUAGUGUUAGCUCAGUAAACCAAUUCAAACAAACAUCUGAUACGUAUUGAUACACCUUUUAAAAUAAAGAAUGUCAUUAUUCCAUAUUUUAGUAUUGCUUGCAGGAACAGUUGCUAUUGUUUUUGAAAUAACAAGAACAUUAGUUACCAUUAAAAAAGAACACACAAAAUGUAUAACCCUUGGCCUUAAGAGAUUGUUACAGAGGUUUCUCAGGUUAGAACUCACUGUCCUUUUCAAUUACUUUGCAUUUUUAGAGAAGGAUCAGGUUAGUUAAUCCUAUCUUAUUACAUACAAAAUAAAUCCCAGGAAGAAAAGAAAAAGGAAUAAUUAAAAAAACUUGAAACAUAAAACUUGAAGGAUGAUAAGAAUUAUAUAUGUUUGCUCUGGAGUUGUAGAAGAACUUGUAAUUAAAAAAAAUUCUAAGAGAAAUGAUUAAUAGAUCUGACUUCAUAAAAAUAAAAGGAGAAGCCACUUCUGUAUAUAAAAUAAAUACCAAAAUUGAAAUACAAAUAAGACAUAAAGAACAUUUCUAUAGAUAUUGUAGAUGAGUUAAUAUCUAUAACACAAAACCAUUUUAUCCACAUUUAUAUAAAAAUUAAUAUCUUAGAUGAUGAAAGGGAAAAAUAGUGAAAA